RNAcentral lists this ribosomal RNA (253 nucleotides) under uncultured bacterium. RNAcentral's name for it is "partial 16S ribosomal RNA". It matches the Rfam family "Bacterial small subunit ribosomal RNA", at positions 524 to 776 of the family's 1533-position model. The record is from RNAcentral.
UACGAACUGUGCAAACGUUAUUCGGAAUCACUGGGCUUACAGGGUGCGUAGGCGGCCUGACAAGUAGGGUGUGAAAGCCCCCGGCUCAACCGGGGAAUGGCGCCCUAAACUGUCGGGCUGGAGUGAGAUAGGGGUGUGCGGAACUUCCGGUGGAGCGGUGAAAUGUGUUGAUAUCGGAAGGAACGCCGGUGGCGAAAGCGGCACACUGGAUCUCAACUGACGCUGAGGCACGAAAGCCAGGGGAGCAAACGGG